This 460-nucleotide ribosomal RNA is filed under the name uncultured bacterium. Its description in RNAcentral is "partial 16S ribosomal RNA". It matches the Rfam family "Bacterial small subunit ribosomal RNA", at positions 338 to 795 of the family's 1533-position model. The record is from RNAcentral.
CCUACGGGUGGCAGCAGUGAGGAAUAUUGGUCAAUGGACGGAAGUCUGAACCAGCCAUGCCGCGUGCAGGAAGACGGCUCUAUGAGUUGUAAACUGCUUUUGUACGAGGAUAAACGCAGGUACGCGUACCUGUCUGAAAGUAUCGUAAGAAAAAGGAUCGGCUAAAUCCGUGCCAGCAGCCGCGGUAAUACGGAGGAUUCAAGCGUUAUCCGGAUUUAUUGGGUUUAAAGGGUGCGUAGGCGGUCGGUUAAGUUAGAGGUGAAAUCCCGGGGGUCAACUUCGGAAUUGCCUCUGAUACUGGUCGUCUAGAGAGGAGGUGCGGUAGGCGGAAUGUAUGGUGUAGCGGUGAAAUGCUUAGAGAUCAUACAGAACACCGAUUGCGAAGGCAGCUUACCAAGCUACUUCUGACGUUGAGGCACGAAAGCGUGGGGAGCGAACAGGAUUAGAUACCCUUGUAGUC